GGUUAUCACCUCCAUCCCUCAACCAGGACUGCCUCAGGUUCUCCACUGCUUCUUCUAGUUCUUCCUUCUUCCACAGCGUAUCCUGGAGCGUCUGACGAAGAUGUCGGCUCUCUGUCUCCGCUUCUCGAUGCCGCUUCCGCAGAACUUCGGACUCCGCCUCUGCAUCCGCGAUGGCCUUCCGCUCGAGCGCCAGUUGGAUUUUCACUUGUUGAAGCUUGGCUGUCUUCUCUCCAAGGGAGACGGAAAUCCCUUCGACAGUGCCUCUCAGGGCUAGGAGCUCUUCGGUAUCUUGGGCGUUAGUAAGCUGCGUCCUAGUAACCAACUGCCUCUGGAGACGAACAACCUCGUCCGCCGC
RNAcentral lists this long non-coding RNA (355 nucleotides) under Elaeis guineensis (African oil palm). Its description in RNAcentral is "long non-coding RNA (EGUI_LNC031236)". Lineage: Eukaryota; Viridiplantae; Streptophyta; Magnoliopsida; Arecales; Arecaceae. The record is from RNAcentral.